Molecule: ribosomal RNA, 237 nt
Filed under: uncultured Staphylococcus sp.
Lineage: Bacteria; Bacillati; Bacillota; Bacilli; Caryophanales; Staphylococcaceae
Description: partial 16S ribosomal RNA
Rfam family: Bacterial small subunit ribosomal RNA
Source: RNAcentral
CGGGUGAGUAACACGUGGAUAACCUACCUAUACGACUGGGAUAACUUCGGGAAACCGGAGCUAAUACCGGAUAAUAUUUUGAACCGCAUGGUUCAAAAGUGAAAGACGGUCUUGCUGUCACUUAUAGAUGGAUCCGCGCUGCAUUAGCUAGUUGGUAAGGUAACGGCUUACCAAGGCAACGAUGCAUAGCCGACCUGAGAGGGUGAUCGGCCACACUGGAACUGAGACACGGUCCAG